Lytechinus pictus (painted urchin) is the source of this 306-nucleotide long non-coding RNA. RefSeq lists it as uncharacterized. The record is from RefSeq and is a predicted model, not a curated record. The transcript has 3 exons. Lineage: Eukaryota; Metazoa; Echinodermata; Echinoidea; Temnopleuroida; Toxopneustidae.
AAUGUGUGCCAGUACAGGAAAGGAAGGUACCUGUCACACGUGAACUCUUCAGAGGCAGUGAGGACAACAAGAUCUGCAAGCAAGUGAUCCUUUUUAUACAUCGCAUCUACCAGCAAAGAUCAAGUGCCACUACAGGAAAGGAAGGUACCUGUCUCAGGUUUACUCUUCACAGGCAGUUCAUGCCCAGCCGACCAUAUACCUACGUGACAGAUCUCCCGAUGAAGAAGAAGUUCAGUGUCGACCAGUAGACCAAGAUAUCCCAAAGUCAAUUGUACAUGUUUGUGAGUUCAAACCGCAAAUCACCAA